This 303-nucleotide unclassified non-coding RNA is filed under the name uncultured fungus. RNAcentral describes it as "partial contains 18S rRNA, ITS1, 5.8S rRNA, ITS2 and 28S rRNA". Lineage: Eukaryota; Fungi. The record is from RNAcentral.
AAGGAUCAUUAACAAAAAAUUAUUUGUGUUAAUAAUUCACCCUUUUCAAUGUGAAGUUUGGUUGUUUGUGAUAUAACUCUGGUAUGGUUUUUUUCAGACGUAAGGUUUGAAAAUUGAAUUGCCUACCAGUAGUUUAAUCUAAUAAACUAUUAUAUAUUUUUGUGUGUAUUUGUAUUAAUCUUUUUGAUGAGUUUUCGGUAACUUGGGAUGAAUUUCACCUGAAAUGAGUCAAAAGUUUAUCAGAAAUGAAUCGAAAAAUCAAUUAACUCAAUACAACUUGCAACAAUGGAUCUCUUGGCUCUU